CCUACGGGAGGCAGCAGUGGGGAAUAUUGGACAAUGGGGGCAACCCUGAUCCAGCAAUGCCGCGUGUGUGAAGAAGGCCUGAGGGUUGUAAAGCACUUUCAUUGGGGAGGAGGAUUGAUUGGUUAAGAGCUGAUUGAUUGGACGUUACCCAGAUAAGAAGCACCGGCUUACUCCGUGCCAGCAGCCGCGGUAAU
RNAcentral lists this ribosomal RNA (194 nucleotides) under uncultured bacterium. RNAcentral describes it as "partial 16S ribosomal RNA". It matches the Rfam family "Bacterial small subunit ribosomal RNA", at positions 338 to 524 of the family's 1533-position model. The record is from RNAcentral.